This 1113-nucleotide long non-coding RNA is filed under the name Callithrix jacchus (white-tufted-ear marmoset). RNAcentral's name for it is "lncRNA (ENSCJAG00000076307.1)". Lineage: Eukaryota; Metazoa; Chordata; Mammalia; Primates; Cebidae. The record is from RNAcentral.
AUGGCCCUGUGGCUCUAUGUCUGCGGGUAUAUUCAUAUCUGUCAUGCCCUUCAUCCUCUGUGUGCCCGUAUCUAUCCUCUCUCUGCAUCUAUCUAUCUAUCAUCUAUCUAUCAUCUACCUAUCAUCUAUCAUCUAUCUAUCAUCUAUCUAUAUCUAUCAUCUAUCUAUCUAUCAUCUAUCUAUCAUCUACCUAUCAUCUAUCUAUCAUCUAUCAUCUACCUAUCAUCUAUCUAUAUCUAUCAUCUAUCAUCUAUCUAUAUCUAUCAUCUAUCUAUCUAUCAUCUAUCUAUCAUCUACCUAUCAUCUAUCUAUCUAUCAUCUAUCUAUAUCUAUCAUGUAUCUAUCAUCUACCUAUCAUCUAUCUAUCAUCUAUCAUCUACCUAUCAUCUAUCUAUAUCUAUCAUCUAUCUAUCUAUCAUCUAUCUAUUAUCUACCUAUCAUCUAUCUAUCAUCUAUCAUGUAUCUGUCAUCUAUCUAUAUCUAUCAUCUAUCACCUAUCAUCUAUCUAUAUCUAUCAUCUAUCUAUCAUCUACCUAUCAUCUAUCAUCUAACUAUCAUCUAUCUAUCAUCUAUCAUGUAUCGAUCAUCUAUCUAUCUAUCAUCUAUCCAUCUAUUAUCUAUCACCUAUCAUCUAUCAUCUAUCAUCUGUCAUCUAUCAUCUAUCUAUCUAUCUAUCGUCUAUCAUCUAUCUAUCAUCUAUCUAUAUCUAUCAUCUAUUUAUAUCUAUCAUCUAUCUAUCAUCUACCUAUCAUCUAUCUAUCAUCUAACUAUCAUUUAACUAUCUAUCAUUUAUCAUGUAUCUAUCAUCUAUCACCUAUCAUCUAUCUAUCUAUCUAUCAUCUAUCUAUUAUCUAUCACCUAUCAUCUAUCAUCUAUCUAUCUAUCAUCUAUCAUCUAUCUAUCGUCUAUCAUCUAUCAUCUAACUAUCUAUCAUCUAUCAUGUAUCUAUCAUCUAUCAUCUAUCUAUCAUCUACCUAUCAUCUAUCAUCUAUCAUCUAUGUAUCAUCUAUCUAUCAUCUAUCUACCUAUCAUCUACCUAUCAUCUAUCAUCUAUGUAUCUAUCAUCUAUCUAUCCAGCCACUCACUCUUCUACCUAUUAGUCCAUCCACCUAG